CCGGGAGCGGCUGGGUGACGAGGCCGCCGCACUGGCGCUGCGCCAGGGCGAGACGGCGGGCACUCCGGCCCGCGUGCUGCAGCGCCGCUCCCAGGC
Molecule: transfer RNA, 96 nt
Filed under: Saccharothrix algeriensis
Lineage: Bacteria; Bacillati; Actinomycetota; Actinomycetes; Pseudonocardiales; Pseudonocardiaceae
Also listed under: 1 other name
Description: tRNA-Ala
Source: RNAcentral